Molecule: transfer RNA, 72 nt
Filed under: Belgica antarctica
Lineage: Eukaryota; Metazoa; Arthropoda; Insecta; Diptera; Chironomidae
Description: tRNA IU25_tRNA_43
Rfam family: tRNA
About the family: Transfer RNA (tRNA) molecules are approximately 80 nucleotides in length. Their secondary structure includes four short double-helical elements and three loops (D, anti-codon, and T loops). Further hydrogen bonds mediate the characteristic L-shaped molecular structure. tRNAs have two regions of fundamental functional importance: the anti-codon, which is responsible for specific mRNA codon recognition, and the 3' end, to which the tRNAs corresponding amino acid is attached (by aminoacyl-tRNA synthetases). tRNAs cope with the degeneracy of the genetic code in two manners: having more than one tRNA (with a specific anti-codon) for a particular amino acid; and 'wobble' base-pairing, i.e. permitting non-standard base-pairing at the 3rd anti-codon position.
Source: RNAcentral
GCGCCUGUGGUGUAAUGGUCAGCAUAGUUGCCUUCCAAGCAGUUGAUUCGGGUUCGAUUCCCGACAGGCGCA